UUUAGCCAUCUUUCCUAAUUCCUGGGUGUCAAUUCUUUACCAUAUCAGCAUAUAUACUUGCCAGAAAAUUUCCAGGUCCACAUACAUCAUAUCAAGAUCAAACUAACUGGCUACAUGUAUAAACAAUUCCCAUCUUUGUAUGUCUACAUAAAUAUAUCUACUUACAAAAAUCUACACAGAAUGAAAUAAUUCAACAGCCUGUCUAACAGAUCAUAAUAUGAUAAAGAAGACCUGAUGGAAAGGCAAAAGGAUCCAAUCCAAGACACGAUUAUGCAUGCAUAAAUACAUGUAUUGAUGUAUGUCAGGGGGAUCCAAAAACGUUCUUCAGCUCAUCUUGGACAUCCCUAACUUUCUUAGUUUUAGCAGAAAGUUCAGCACGCUGAACAGGAUCUUCCUCAUCGCUAUCUCCAUGAAUGCUCGAUUUCUUUCCAGGAAAUGCAGCCAUACUUUUGUUGGAGAUAGUGAGGCAAAUAGAAAUUCUCAGGCCAAAAAAUCUUGCGGGUUUGUGAUUGUAAAUAACUUGCACUUUCAGGAGAACAUACUAUUGGCACACAGAACAGGUGGAUGGUGGAUGUCAAGUCAAAAAAAGCAAGGUCAACAUGUUUAAGUAUGCUCCUUCAGAUGUGCAAAUUCAGGGAAGAAAAAAUUUCACAUCUGUUAUGAGCAUCAUUGUCCAACCAUUCAUCCUUUCAAAUUUCAGCAAAAAAGAGUUAAUGUAUAUAUCUUUGCUAACAUCUACAGUGUAAGAGUUAGCAGGAAGGAACUACAUCAGUUUUCUCAUAUAUUAACCUUGAUUAACACCAAAAAAAUGAGGCAACAACUACAAAAACAUUAUCAAGUACUCGCCCACUCCACAAACAAUUUUUCCUUGUAGAAGACAGAAGUCAACAUAUUAACUAGCAUCUGUACAAGGAUCAAGGAAAAACAAAUACUCCCUCCGU
RNAcentral lists this long non-coding RNA (941 nucleotides) under Coffea arabica (coffee). Its description in RNAcentral is "long non-coding RNA (CARA_LNC004835)". Lineage: Eukaryota; Viridiplantae; Streptophyta; Magnoliopsida; Gentianales; Rubiaceae. The record is from RNAcentral.